GACGAACGCUGGCGGCGUGCUUAACACAUGCAAGUCGAACGGAAAGGCCCUGCUUUUGUGGGGUGCUCGAGUGGCGAACGGGUGAGUAACACGUGAGUAACCUGCCCUUUACUUUGGGAUAACUUCAGGAAACUGGGGCUAAUACCGGAUAGGAGCUCCUGCUGCAUGGUGGGGGUUGGAAAGUUUCGGCGGUUGGGGAUGGACUCGCGGCUUAUCAGCUUGUUGGUGGGGUAGUGGCUUACCAAGGCUUUGACGGGUAGCCGGCCUGAGAGGGUGACCGGCGACAUUGGGACUGAGAUACGGCCCAGACUCCUACGGGAGGCAGCAGGGGGGAAUAUUGCACAAUGGGAGGAAGCCUGAUGCAGCAACGCCGCGUGCGGGAUGACGGCCUUCGGGUUGUAAACAGCUUUCGCCUGUGACGAAGCGUGAGUGACGGUAAUGGGUAAAGAAGCACCGGCUAACUACGUG
RNAcentral lists this ribosomal RNA (468 nucleotides) under uncultured bacterium. Its description in RNAcentral is "partial 16S ribosomal RNA". It matches the Rfam family "Bacterial small subunit ribosomal RNA", at positions 28 to 507 of the family's 1533-position model. The record is from RNAcentral.